Molecule: long non-coding RNA, 252 nt
Filed under: Lathyrus oleraceus (garden pea)
Lineage: Eukaryota; Viridiplantae; Streptophyta; Magnoliopsida; Fabales; Fabaceae
Description: Pisum sativum (pea) long non-coding RNA (PSAT_LNC031418)
Source: RNAcentral
GUGCAUGGUUUGUUGUCUUUUAAAAAUGAAGAAAAAGUCGGUGGGAGAAGAAGAUAAAGAUGAUGUAUGUGGAGGGAGAGAGCAAGUGAGUGGAUGAUGGUCCAGUGAAAAAUGACGAAGAAAAAUAGUUGGGUGAGGGAAAGUAAGUCGUAAUACAACUUUUUAAGUAGUGGGCUAGUGGUUCACGUUUUUUCCUCCUCUCACCAAAUUUUUUUCUCUUUCUAUUUUGAAUUUUAUGAAAAUGCAGAUGAA